This 73-nucleotide transfer RNA is filed under the name Stegodyphus mimosarum. It matches the Rfam family "tRNA". From Rfam's summary of the family: Transfer RNA (tRNA) molecules are approximately 80 nucleotides in length. Their secondary structure includes four short double-helical elements and three loops (D, anti-codon, and T loops). Lineage: Eukaryota; Metazoa; Arthropoda; Arachnida; Araneae; Eresidae. The record is from Rfam by way of RNAcentral.
GCUUUCGUGGUGUAGUGGUCAGCACACUCGGCGGGUAUUGGAGAUGUCUACGGUUCGAGUCCCGGCGAGGGCA